GACGAACGCUGGCGGCGUGCUUAACACAUGCAAGUCGAACGAUGAUACCCUUCGGGGUGGAUUAGUGGCGAACGGGUGAGUAACACGUGAGUAACCUGCCCCUCCGUCUGGGAUAAGCCUGGGAAACUGGGUCUAAUACUGGAUAUUCCGCAAUUGUCGCAUGGUGGUUGUGGGAAAGAUUUAUUGUGGAGGGAUGGGCUCGCGGCCUAUCAGCUUGAUGGUGGGGUAGUGGCCUACCAUGGCGAUGACGGGUAGCCGGCCUGAGAGGGCGACCGGCCACACUGGGACUGAGACACGGCCCAGACUCCUACGGGAGGCAGCAGUGGGGAAUAUUGCACAAUGGGGGAAACCCUGAUGCAGCGACGCCGCGUGCAGGAUGAAGGCCUUCGGGUUGUAAACUGCUUUCAGCAAGGAAGAAGCGAAAGUGACGGUACUUGCAGAAGAAGCGCCGGCUAACUACGUGCCAGCAGCCGUGGUAAUACGUAGGGCGCAAGCGUUGUCCGGAAUUAUUGGGCGUAAAGAGCUCGUAGGCGGUCUGUCGCGUCUGGCGUGAAAACCCAUGGCUCAACUGUGGGCUUGCGUCGGGUACGGGCGGACUUGAAUACUGUAGGGGAAACUGGAAUUCCUGGUGUAGCGGUGGAAUGCGCAGAUAUCAGGAGGAACACCGAUGGGCGAAGGCAGGUCUCUGGGCAGUUACUGACGCUGAGGAGCGAAAGCAUGGGGAGCGAACAGGAUUAGAUACCCUGGUAGUCCAUGCCGUAAACGUUGGGCACUAGAUGUGGGGACUGUUGUGGUUUCCGUGUCGUAGCUAACGCAUUAAGUGCCCCGCCUGGGGAGUACGGCCGCAAGGCUAAAACUCAAAGGAAUUGACGGGGGCCCGCACAAGCGGCGGAGCAUGCGGAUUAAUUCGAUGCAACGCGAAGAACCUUACCAAGGCUUGACAUACACCGGAGGUCAGCAGAGAUGUUGGCGCCUUUUUGGCUGGUGUACAGGUGGUGCAUGGUUGUCGUCAGCUCGUGUCGUGAGAUGUUGGGUUAAGUCCCGCAACGAGCGCAACCCUCAUCCUAUGUUGCCAGCACGUGAUGGUGGGGACUCAUGGGAGACUGCCGGGGUUAACUCGGAGGAAGGUGGGGAUGACGUCAAAUCAUCAUGCCCCUUAUGUCUUGGGCUUCACGCAUGCUACAAUGGCUGGUACAGAGGGUUGCGAUAUCGUGAGGUGGAGCUAAUCCCUUAAAGCCAGUCUCAGUUCGGAUUGGGGUCUGCAACUCGACCCCAUGAAGUCGGAGUCGCUAGUAAUCGCAGAUCAGCAACGCUGCGGUGAAUACGUUCCCGGGCC
Molecule: ribosomal RNA, 1336 nt
Filed under: uncultured bacterium
Lineage: Bacteria
Description: bacterial SSU rRNA
Rfam family: Bacterial small subunit ribosomal RNA
Source: RNAcentral